RNAcentral lists this signal recognition particle RNA (263 nucleotides) under Chloroflexi bacterium RBG_16_48_7. RNAcentral describes it as "signal recognition particle sRNA large type". It matches the Rfam family "Bacterial large signal recognition particle RNA". Rfam says of the family: The signal recognition particle (SRP) is a universally conserved ribonucleoprotein involved in the co-translational targeting of proteins to membranes. Archaeal SRP consists of a 7S RNA and homologues of the eukaryotic SRP19 and SRP54 proteins. Lineage: Bacteria; Bacillati; Chloroflexota. The record is from RNAcentral.
UCGUGCUAGACGGGGAGCCAGCGGUGCCCUGUACCCGAGAUCCGCUUUAGCGGGGUUGAUUUCCGAAUAGAGGUGUUGUUUUGCUGAUACUGUCUGAAUCGGGCGGUGUUGAAGGCUUGGUCUUGCGCGGCAGAUGGCUAUGAAUCCCGUCAGGUCCGGAAGGAAGCAGCGGUAAAUAGUGAUAUCUGGGUGCCGCAAGUAUACCUGGCUGGAGCUGCCUGGUAUAGGCGUGACAACUGGCAAUAUCGACAGGAGGUGCACGG